AGGGCGUGCUAAUCUGCGAUAAGCGCCGGUAAGGUGAUAUGAACCGUUAUAACCGGCGAUACCCGAAUGGGGAAACCCAGUGUGACUCGUCACACUAUCAUUAACUGAAUCCAUAGGUUAAUGAGGCGAACCGGGGGAACUGAAACAUCUAAGUACCCCGAGGAAAAGAAAUCAACCGAGAUUCCCCCAGUAGCGGCGAGCGAACGGGGAGGAGCCCAGAGCCUGAAUCAGCAUGUGUGUUAGUGGAAGCGUCUGGAAAGGCGCGCGAUACAGGGUGACAGCCCCGUACACAAAAGCGCAUGUGCUGUGAGCUCGAUGAGUAGGGCGGGACACGUGGUAUCCUGUCUGAAUAUGGGGGGACCAUCCUCCAAGGCUAAAUACUCCUGACUGACCGAUAGUGAACCAGUACCGUGAGGGAAAGGCGAAAAGAACCCCGGCGAGGGGAGUGAAAAAGAACCUGAAACCGUGUACGUACAAGCAGUGGGAGCACAGGUUUACCUGUGUGACUGCGUACCUUUUGUAUAAUGGGUCAGCGACUUAUAUUCUGUAGCAAGGUUAACCG
This 562-nucleotide ribosomal RNA is filed under the name Salmonella enterica subsp. enterica serovar Orion. RNAcentral describes it as "partial 23S ribosomal RNA". It matches the Rfam family "Bacterial large subunit ribosomal RNA", at positions 53 to 652 of the family's 2925-position model. The record is from RNAcentral. Lineage: Bacteria; Pseudomonadati; Pseudomonadota; Gammaproteobacteria; Enterobacterales; Enterobacteriaceae.